GAUGAACGCUGGCGGCGUGCCUAAUACAUGCAAGUCGAGCGAACAGACGAGGAGCUUGCUCCUCUGACGUUAGCGGCGGACGGGUGAGUAACACGUGGAUAACCUACCUAUAAGACUGGGAUAACUUCGGGAAACCGGAGCUAAUACCGGAUAAUAUAUUGAACCGCAUGGUUCAAUAGUGAAAGACGGUUUUGCUGUCACUUAUAGAUGGAUCCGCGCCGCAUUAGCUAGUUGGUAAGGUAACGGCUUACCAAGGCAACGAUGCGUAGCCGACCUGAGAGGGUGAUCGGCCACACUGUAUCUGAGACUCGGUCCAGACUCCUACGGGAGGAAGCAGUAGGGAAUCUUCCGCAAUGGGCGAAAGCCUGACGGAGCAACGCCGCGUGAGUGAUGAAGGUCUUCGGAUCGUAAAACUCUGUUAUUAGGGAAGAACAAAUGUGUAAGUAACUAGGCACGUCUUGACGGUACCUAAUCAGAAAGCCACGGCUAACUACGUG
RNAcentral lists this ribosomal RNA (497 nucleotides) under uncultured bacterium. RNAcentral describes it as "partial 16S ribosomal RNA". It matches the Rfam family "Bacterial small subunit ribosomal RNA", at positions 28 to 507 of the family's 1533-position model. The record is from RNAcentral.